CACGGACUCGCAGCCUCGGCGAGGACGCUGCCUGCGUCCCGACUGCCUGGACCUCCCCGCGUGGCUCCCGGCGAAGCCCAGCAGCCGGAGGGUGCCAGGUCCGCCUGACGCGCCCCUCCCCACGGGAAGAACGGGGCGGGGGUCCAGGAGGGACGUAAGCCGGGCUCCCCCGGCGUGUUGAUCCGAACCCGCGCGGGAAAACUUGCGCAAACCAAAGGAGGGAAGAGUCAGGCAGCCCCCAGCCCCCCAGGGAGGCCCAGGUGAAAAACAGACGCCGGCCUCGCCUCUCCCGGUGCGGAUGAUCCCGGCACUCCCACCCCCGCCCCUGCUGCCCCGAGUUCGGCUCCCUCAGCCCCACAUCCUCUCUGGUCAUCUAAGUGGACUGCAGCUGCUCAGGGAGCAUGUCGCGAAGGAUAGGGAAGGACAGGGGGUCUGCUUCCCCAGCCGCCCUCCAGACCCCCAGGGCUGGUAGGGGCCGGCAACCCUAUGCCCCAACCUGGCCUGCUGCAGGUGAGGGGGGCACACCAGGGUAACACAGGAGCAGGAGGGGGAGAAAGCCUGGCUAGAGCAUCCACCUCAUAGGCACCUUCCUUGUGUCCAGGGUGCAGAUGCCAGGGCUCUGAGGCCCUGAGGUCCUGUCUGGGGCGAGGGGGCUUCCUCCAUCCACUGCAUCCACUGCCCGGCUGAGUCUAGAGGCCACUGAGCAAGCAGACCCUCCAAAGCCAGGCACACUCAGGCCCUCACAUGGUCACGGUGCUUAUGCUCUGGGCCAGCCUGGAUUGCUCAUCCCUAGCUGAGAUUGGGAUUCACAGGGUCUUCCAGUUCCCCCUUUUCUUUCUCUACUGAUUGAGAAACACAGAGUCCUUUGAUUGCUCUGGGACCUGGCCAUUGCGUGUUCCCUGCAGCCUUGAACCCAGUUCAAUGGGGCCGGGCACAUUCCCUGAUAAAGCUGUUUAGGUUGCUUGAAAACACAAUCAACCCUAUUGCUAAACACGUAGAAACUGGCCCUGCCCUGAGUCCAAUCCCUUAAACUCUCAUCUAAGCUCCAUAGCCAGAGUCCCUUGCUGCAAAUGUACCUGGGUGGAGCAUCCCUUGCCUCAUCAUCGAUCCCAAGAAAGCUGAAGCUCCAUGUGAAAAUUUCCGGAAGAAAUGCUCUGGACUGAUCACCCUGGCGUUUAGAGCUUCUUUCCUUGGAAUCCCAACCAAUUCCAUCGCGGGACUGUUUGGGGAAGUCUUUUGAGGCAACUCCCUUGCUGCCACUUUUGGGGCAACUCUAGCCUCCUCAUAUUUGGCCAGAUAGAACAGUUCCAAGCUGUAAAUGUUUCCAGGAAAAAAUCUCAACUACAAAGACACUUUCAAGGUGCUGCAUUUCCAACAGCACUCUCCGUAUCCGAGUGGACAGCCCAGAGCAAUGGUGCUUCCAAUCCACAGAGCCCCUCCACAGGUCCCUUGCCAUCUGCAGACACCCACAUCUCAAGGCUGGAGUGAAGUGGCGUGCUCUCAGCUCACUGCAACCUCCACUCGCCGCUCCACUCCCUGGUUCAAGCAAUUCUCCUGCCUCAGCCUCCCAAGUAGCUGGGAUUACAGACAGAGUCCGGCUCUGUCAUCCAGGCUGGAGUGCGAUGGUGCCAUCUCGGCUCACUGCAACCUCCGACGCCCAGGUUCAAGCGAUUCUCCUGCCUCAGCCUCCCGAGUAGCUGGAACUGCAGGUGUGUGCCACCAGGCCCGGCUAAUUUUUUGUAUUUUUAGUAGAGAUGGGGUUUCACUGUAUUAGCCAGGAUGGUCUCAAUCUCCUGACCUCGUGAUCCACCAUCUCGGCCUCCC
RNAcentral lists this long non-coding RNA (1824 nucleotides) under Homo sapiens (human). RNAcentral's name for it is "HSALNT0350748". The record is from RNAcentral. Lineage: Eukaryota; Metazoa; Chordata; Mammalia; Primates; Hominidae.